AGGACGAACGCUGGCGGCGUGCCUAACACAUGCAAGUGGAGCGACGAACCAGGCUUCGGCCUGGGGCAGAGCCGCGAACGGGUGAGUAACACGUGGGUAACCUGCCCUGAUGAUUGGGACAACCCGAGGAAACUCGGGCUAAUACCAAAUGUGCCCUCCGGCCUCAAGGCCUGUGGGGAAAGGAAGCUUCGGCCUCCGCAUCGGGAUGGGCCCGCGGCCCAUUAGCUUGUUGGUGAGGUAAUGGCUCACCAAGGCUACGAUGGGUAGCUGGUCUGAGAGGACGAUCAGCCACACUGGGACUGAGACACGGCCCAGACUCCUACGGGAGGCAGCAGUGGGGAAUCUUGCGCAAUGCGCGAAAGCGUGACGCAGCAACGCCGCGUGGGGGAAGAAGGCCUUCGGGUUGUAAACCCUUUCAGUUGGGACGAAGCUUCGCCGGUGAACAGCCGGCUGGAGUGACGGUACCUUCGAGAAGAGCCCGGCUAACUACGUGCCAGCAGCCG
This 503-nucleotide ribosomal RNA is filed under the name uncultured bacterium. RNAcentral describes it as "SSU rRNA". It matches the Rfam family "Bacterial small subunit ribosomal RNA", at positions 26 to 517 of the family's 1533-position model. The record is from RNAcentral.